AGAAUUGAUCUGGUCAGGAUGAACGCUAGCGACAGGCUAACACAUGCAAGUCGAGGGGCAGCAUAAAAGUAGCAAUACUUGGUGGCGACCGGCGCACGGGUGAGUAACGCGUAUGCAACCUACCUAUCAGAGGGGAAUAACCGGCGAAAGUCGGACUAAUACCGCAUAAAACAGGGGCACCGCAUGGUGAUAUUUGUUAAAGAGAUUCGCUGAUAGAUGGGCAUGCGUUCCAUUAGGUAGUUGGUGAGGUAACGGCUCACCAAGCCGACGAUGGAUAGGGGAACUGAGAGGUUGGUCCCCCACACUGGUACUGAGACACGGACCAGACUCCUACGGGAGGCAGCAGUGAGGAAUAUUGGUCAAUGGGCGGGAGCCUGAACCAGCCAAGUCCGCGUGAAGGAAGAAGGAUCUAUGGUUCGUAAACUUCUUUUGCAGGGGAAUAAAGUGCAGGACGUGUCCUGUUUUGUAUGUACCCUGAGAAUAAGGAUCGGCUAACUCCGUGCCAGCCGCCGC
This 513-nucleotide ribosomal RNA is filed under the name uncultured bacterium. RNAcentral describes it as "bacterial SSU rRNA". It matches the Rfam family "Bacterial small subunit ribosomal RNA", at positions 1 to 518 of the family's 1533-position model. The record is from RNAcentral.